Long non-coding RNA from Gasterosteus aculeatus aculeatus (three-spined stickleback), 1578 nucleotides. Lineage: Eukaryota; Metazoa; Chordata; Actinopteri; Perciformes; Gasterosteidae. The record is from Ensembl.
GAGCCACUCGCAAUGUAAAAUGUUGUUUUUUUCCCUCAUAUUUAUGAGAACAACAGCACGUUCCUUCUGCGUGGGGCUGAAGGUCACGCCGGGGUCACGGUGGGGCUAGCUAACGUCAGCUAACGGCCAUCAUGCAGGGUGACACGACACGAGCACGAGACGAGCUCGAGGGCCCCACGAAACGACGACAUGGAGCAAAUAUUAAACACGUGCACCCACCCACGUGUGGCGCGUGAAAAACAAGAAUUGUUUACUAACUUUUGACGAGGACUCUGCGAAACUCUGACGUCAUCGACCCGACAGGAACCCGCUGCUGCUGCUGCUGCAUCCAGACGACACGCUUCUAAAAGACGAAUUCAUUCUCGACGCGACAAUGGUUUCCUAUGGAGACGAAGGGAUGGCGAUUGGACGAGCGAGGGUUAAAAGCGAGCGCUGCAGGAGGAGAGAGAGAGUCACUGGAGGACUUGCUAAUUAGGCAGCGGCAACACGAGCCUCAUCUGCAUGCGGGGUAUGCAAAUUGACCGGCUGGCUCUUUCUUUUUGUCCCGGAUCAGAAGGCGAGAGCUGCAGAGAAGAAUUAAGAGCCAUUAUUCUACCCAAGGAGAGGCUGAUGUAUGCAGAAGAGGGGGAUGAGGAUGAGAGGAAAGAACACUUUUACCACAGAGAUGUACAAUGGACUCCACUGGAAAGGAGAGUCAAAUACAAUCACACAAACGCACUCUUAUUCUCUCGCACAGCCUGGAAGAUCCUUCUACAUUUGAGGUGGAAAUUGCGAAAGAGAAAACGGCAAUCACGCACCUUUAUUUGCCGUUAUGCCUAUCUCCACAUAUCGAUAGGCUGCUUUGUGGAUGAUAAUUACCUUUUGGAAUAUCGAAUCCCGAAAACGAGCCACGGAAACGAAGGAACAAGAAGAAAGGACAGAAAAAAGAGCGGAGGUAUGCAAAGGCGCUAAUGAUAUUCACAGCGCCGCGUGUGUCAUCUGCAUGAUGACAACGGCCAAUUAUAAUGAACCAUUGGCUCUCUGACAUAGAUAAGUAGGAGAGAAAAGGAUAUGGGUGAAAAGGAGCGCGAAAAAAAAAAAAAAACUUCUGCGAUCCUUCUUAAUUUGCCGCUGAUAUUUUCAGAUUUCGUGUCGUGUGGAUUUACAGUGACGAUACAUCUUGAAAAAAAAAAGACAACCUCUCCUCGCACUGUCCCAUAAAUGGAAUAAAAAGGCCACAGAAGAUGAGGGCGUCCCUCCACGCAGGAUUUAUGGCUGCUCGUGGUGGUAUUCCAUCGCCAUGUUGUUGGUCAACGGGACUGGUUCUGAUGGCACCUGUUCCCGUGCCAACCAUCGCUCUGACGAGCCAAAGAAUCUGUUGGAAAUCACACCCACUAGGACGAGCGUACACACACACACACACACACACACACGGCGGCAUCUUUCUGUCGACUCCCCUUCCUCAUCACACUACAAAAUGCCUCCCCAUCACCGUUUUGCAUAUUCGCAUGGCGCCCCGCCUGCCACAAAGGACUAAACAGCCGUAUGCAAAACAGUCUGGUAUCCCCACUUACAUAGCGAUGAGACGAACAGCGUGAG